GAUGAACGCUGGCGGCGUGCCUAAUACAUGCAAGUCGAGCGAACGGACGAGAAGCUUGCUUCUCUGAUGUUAGCGGCGGACGGGUGAGUAACACGUGGAUAACCUACCUAUAAGACUGGGAUAACUUCGGGAAACCGGAGCUAAUACCGGAUGAUAUUUUGAACCGCAUGGUUCAAAAGUGAAAGACGGUCUUGCUGUCACUUAUAGAUGGAUCCGCGCUGCAUUAGCUAGUUGGUAAGGUAACGGCUUACCAAGGCAACGAUGCAUAGCCGACCUGAGAGGGUGAUCGGCCACACUGGAACGGAGACACGGUCCAGACGCCUACGGGAGGCAGCAGUAGGGAAUCUUCCGCAAUGGGCGAAAGCCUGACGGAGCAACGCCGCGUGAGUGAUGAAGAUCUUCGGAUCGUAAAACUCUGUUAUUAGGGAAGAACAUAUGUGUAAGGAACUGUGCACAGCUUGACGGUACCUAAUCAGAAAGCCACGGCUAACUACGUG
RNAcentral lists this ribosomal RNA (497 nucleotides) under uncultured bacterium. Its description in RNAcentral is "partial 16S ribosomal RNA". It matches the Rfam family "Bacterial small subunit ribosomal RNA", at positions 28 to 507 of the family's 1533-position model. The record is from RNAcentral.